CUUGUGCUCUUUAUCCGCUCAAAACGCUAUACAGCGAACGAGAAGGCGCUAGGAGCAAAGGAAAGUGGUUUUUCUAACAAACUCAUAUAAUCAAGUGCACGACCUACUCCAAUUUGAUUUUUUCACAUAGUUAGACAUAAUAUAGUACUAUGAAAUGUUUCUGACCCAAAAUAUUACGAAAUAUGAUUGUUUACAUUAAAAUGCAAAAGUUGAUGAAAAAGUAUGAUAAGGUGAAAAAAGUGACAUUUUAUGUCUAGAAAGUCACUUUUCAUCAAAAGUACAAUAACAAAAUUAGUUCCAUUCAUCCUGUGUCCCUAACACACUUGUGCUCUUUAUCCGCUCAAAACGCUAUACAGCGAACGAGAAGGCGCUAGGAGCAAAGGAAAGUGGUUUUUCUAACAAACUCAUAUAAUCAAGUGCACGACGUACUCCAAUUUGAUUUUUUUCACAUAGUUAGACAUAAUAUAGUACUAUGAAAUGUUUCUGACCCAAAAUAUUACGAAAUAUGAUUGUUUACAUUAAAAUGCAAAAGUUGAUGAAAUAGUAUGAUAAGGUGAAAAAAGUGACAUUUCAUGUCAAGAUAGUCACUUUUCAUCAAAAGUACAAUAACAAAAUUAGUUCCCAUUCAUCCUGUGUCCCCUAACACACUUGUGCUCUUUAUCCGCUCAAAACGCUAUACAGCGAACGAGAAGGCGCUAGGAGCAAAGGAAAGUGGUUUUUCUAACAAACUCAUAUAAUCAAUUGUCCGACCUACUCCAAUUUGAUUUUUUUCACAUAGUUAGACAUAAUUUAGUACUAUGAAAUGUUUCUGACCCAAAAUAUUACGAAAUAUGAUUGUUUACAUUAAAAUGCAAAAGUUGAUGAAAAAGUAUGAUAAGGUGAAAAAAGUGACAUUUUAUGUCUAGAAAGUCAGUUUU
Ictalurus punctatus (channel catfish) is the source of this 917-nucleotide long non-coding RNA. The record is from Ensembl. Lineage: Eukaryota; Metazoa; Chordata; Actinopteri; Siluriformes; Ictaluridae.